RNAcentral lists this ribosomal RNA (1989 nucleotides) under metagenome. RNAcentral's name for it is "bacterial LSU rRNA". It matches the Rfam family "Bacterial large subunit ribosomal RNA", at positions 730 to 2716 of the family's 2925-position model. The record is from RNAcentral.
CUAUCCAUGGCCAGGUUGAAGGUGUGGUAACACACACUGGAGGACCGAACCGACUAGUGUUGCAAAAUUAGCGGAUGAGCUGUGGAUAGGGGUGAAAGGCCAAACAAAUCUGGAGAUAGCUGGUUCUCCCCGAAAACUAUUGAGGUAGUGCCUCGUGUGUCGCUCCAGGGGGUAGAGCACUGUUUUGGCUAGGGGGACAUGGAGUCUUACCAAACCAAGGCAAACUCCGAAUACCUGGAAGCGUGAGCACGGGAGACAGAGCACCGGGUGCUAACGUCCGGACUCAAAAGGGAAACAACCCAGACCGCCGGCUAAGGUCCCAAAUAACAGCUAAGUGGAAAACGAAGUGGAAAGGCCGUGACAACCAGGAAGUUGGCUUAGAAGCAGCCAUCCUUCAAAGAAAGCGUAAUAGCUCACUGGUCGAGUCCUUCUGCGCGGAAGAUGUAACGGGGCUAAGCUGUUAACCGAAGCCGCGGAUGCGCUGGUUAUCCAGUGCGUGGUAGGGGAGCGUUCUGUAAGUCUGCGAAGGCGGUUCGAGAGGACUGCUGGAGAUAUCAGAAGUGCGAAUGCUGACAUGAGUAACGUUAAAGCAGGUGAAAAGCCUGCUCGCCGUAAGCCCAAGGAUUCCUGCUCUACGUUCAUCGGAGCAGGGUGAGUCGGCUCCUAAGGUCAGGCCGAAAGGCGUAGCCGAUGGGAAUCAGGUUAAUAUUCCUGAACCUGCGUCAGAUGCGAUGGGGGGACGGAGCAUGGAAGAUCAUCCGGGUGUUGGAAGUCCCGGUUGUUUAGCGUAGGAGGUCUGCAGGCAAAUCCGCAGACGCAUCUCCAAGGCAAAGACACGUGCCGCCACGGCGGCGAAGUGAUCGGAAGUGCUUCCAAGAAAAGCCUCUAAGCUUCAGUCUGAUGCGGACCGUACCGCAAACCGACACUGGUGGGCGAGCUGAAUAUGCUCAGGCGCUUGAGAGAACUCGGGAGAAGGAACUCGGCAAAUUGACACCGUAACUUCGGAAGAAGGUGUGCCGUAGUACCGUGAGAGGAGAGACACCUUGAGCGGGAAACGGUCUCAGAGAAUAGGUGGCUGCGACUGUUUAUUAAAAACACAGCACUCUGCAAAGUCGAAAGACGACGUAUAGGGUGUGAUGCCUGCCCGGUGCUGGAAGAUUAAUUGAUGGGGUGAGAGCCCUUGAUCGAAGUCCCAGUAAACGGCGGCCGUAACUAUAACGGUCCUAAGGUAGCGAAAUUCCUUGUCGGGUAAGUUCCGACCUGCACGAAUGGCAUAACGAUGGCCACACUGUCUCCUCCCGAGGCUCAGUGAAGUUGAAAUGUUUGUGAUGAUGCAAUCUACCCGCGGCUAGACGGGAAGACCCCAUGAACCUUUACUGCAGCUUUGCAUUGAACUGUGAACCGAUUUGUGUAGGAUAGGUGGGAGGCAGAGAAGAGGCCACGCCAGUGGUCUUGGAGCCGACCUUGAAAUACCACCCUGAUUUGUUUGCGGUUCUAACCACGGACAGUGAUCCUGUCUUGGGACCGUGCAUGGUAGGCAGUUUGACUGGGGCGGUCUCCUCCUAAAGGGUAACGGAGGAGUACGAAGGUACGCUAGGUACGGUCGGAAAUCGUGCUGAUAGUGCAAUGGCAAAAGCGUGCUUGACUGCGAGAGCAACAACUCGAGCAGAUGCGAAAGCAGGUCAUAGUGAUCCGGUGGCUCUGAAUGGAAGGGCCAUCGCUCAACGGAUAAAAGGUACUCUGGGGAUAACAGGCUGAUACCGCCCAAGAGUUCAUAUCGACGGCGGUGUUUGGCACCUCGAUGUCGGCUCAUCUCAUCCUGGGGCUGUAGUCGGUCCCAAGGGUAUGGCUGUUCGCCAUUUAAAGAGGUACGUGAGCUGGGUUUAAAACGUCGUGAGACAGUUUGGUCCCUAUCUGCCGUGGGCGUUGGAAGAUUGACGGGGGCUGCUCCUAGUACGAGAGGACCGGAGUGGACGCACCUCUGGUGUA